This 1340-nucleotide long non-coding RNA is filed under the name Triticum aestivum (bread wheat). RNAcentral's name for it is "long non-coding RNA (TAES_LNC006798)". Lineage: Eukaryota; Viridiplantae; Streptophyta; Magnoliopsida; Poales; Poaceae. The record is from RNAcentral.
AAAAUAAUGUGUACAUGUCAUCUUAAUAAUCAUGGGUAUGUAUUUGUAUAAACUGUCAACUACAAAUGGUUUGGUUCCUUUGAAAAGGACUGAAAAUAUCUAGAUAGUAAGGUGGACUAUCAAUCUUUACAAAUAGAUAGACAUAUUAUCUGACAAAGAUCAAUGACAUCAGGGACACACAGGCAACUGCGAAGCAUCUCACGGAUCAGCCGAUGAACAGUAGAAGCAAAGACGGCAUCUCCUGCAUCGUCGUAAACAUCCGUUGCUAGUAGAGCUUCAACCUGUGAAUAGGAGGAGCAAAGAUGAUAUCUCCUCCGUCAUCAUAAACCUCCAAAAUUUAUAGUGCAACUUCUCACUAACAUGUCAUGUUGCGGUGUUACCAAAAUUGUAAAAAAAGAACUAGAAUGGGCGGCUGCCAACCUGGCACCGCCCAGCUUCCUCUCAUGAGGCGCCACAAGGUGGCGUCCCAACCCCUAGUUAUCUCUAGCUUUCUACCCCAUUGGCUUUUUAACAUUCAGAAGCCGUUUUCAGUACCGAUUAUUCUAACUUGCAGCCCACAACCCGUCGCAAGUAACCAAAGCUGGGUAGAAAGAAGGCAUCCAAAUAUGGACUGUUAGUGAAAACAAAGAAUCGCAAGCGUAUUUUUGGCUGUUGCAAACCCACAUAUAUGAGGGAAAGAGAGAGGCAACCUAGCAGCUAGCUCAGCCAGCAAUGGUAGCUGUCGCUGCUUCUUGCUCCUCCUGGUCAAUGCUAGUCACUGCUCCUGCCUAAAGCAGCUGCGCAUGCAGCCAACAACAAUUCAGAGAUAUAAGAUGACAGAUAACAGAGAACCAGAAAGCAGGACGACGACACAGAGAAAAACGUUCAGAUUGCAAUUCGUGUAUACCAAGCUAUGCUAUGCAUUUUGGCAUAAGUUAUGGAAUCGCGCACAUAUUUUCUUUCAAAUAAAAGUAGUACUCAAGGUCUGAAUUCAGUUUCAGAGAACAAAGCACGCAUACUGAAGUUCGAUGACAGGUCGACGGAGGUUGUCCCUGCAGGGCACCUUGUCGGACAGCGCUGAACUUGUUGCCGGUGAUGCUAGGCACUGGGGGGACGGCAUGAACAGCAGCAUCGGCGGGGACGGCAUGACGAAGCAUUGUUAAAAGCAUUCAUACAGAAUAUAAUCUUCUAGAUGAUAACAAUAAAAAAUACAAAUGCAAUAAUCCACCAAAUGUAGGAAAGCAUUGUUACACGCCCUCCCCAUGAGUCGUGGGCUCCUGUUGCUUCCGUCGAUCUCAUCAUCCCAAAGUCAAGUAUACUAUCAUAACAUCAAUCAUAUAUGUGUUGGCAUUUUACUGUAC